GCAAAAUGCCAUCUACUCUAUUCAGUCGUUACGUUGAUGCAUUCAUGUUUUGGCUCCCAAAGCAGAAACACAUCAAAAAUCACAUCCUCAAAUACAUCAAUACAACAACAUGAACUGUUGGUGGCCAAAUUUAUCUCAACAAUUUAUCAGUUUACCAUUUCACCUAUCCAAAUAUGUCUCAACAAAUAAAUUACAUGAAUAUGUGUGCAAACACGCAUGGCAUGAAAACAGCCUAUUCUCAAAGAACAUCAGAAUGAUUCCUUAUCCUUUAAUACUCUGCUCUAAGAAUGAAAAAAAUACACAGAGAUCCAUGCUCAGUCUUUCCAACACAAGCAUAUUAAUACCACACAUAAAUAAUUACAAGAAUACCACACAUAAAUAAUUACAAGAAUACCACACAUAAAUAAUUACAAG
RNAcentral lists this unclassified non-coding RNA (414 nucleotides) under Hevea brasiliensis (rubber tree). The record is from RNAcentral. Lineage: Eukaryota; Viridiplantae; Streptophyta; Magnoliopsida; Malpighiales; Euphorbiaceae.